This 460-nucleotide ribosomal RNA is filed under the name uncultured bacterium. RNAcentral describes it as "partial 16S ribosomal RNA". It matches the Rfam family "Bacterial small subunit ribosomal RNA", at positions 338 to 795 of the family's 1533-position model. The record is from RNAcentral.
CCUACGGGAGGCAGCAGUGAGGAAUAUUGGUCAAUGGACGAGAGUCUGACCCAGCCAAGUCGCGUGAAGGAUGACUGCCCUAUGGGUUGUAAACUUCUUUUAUAAAGGAAUAAAACGAGGCACGUGUGCCUUUUUGCAUGUACUUUAUGAAUAAGGAUCGGCUAACUCCGUGCCAGCAGCCGCGGUAAUACGGAGGAUCCGAGCGUUAUCCGGAUUUAUUGGGUUUAAAGGGAGCGUAGACGGGUUGUUAAGUCAGUUGUGAAAGUUUGCGGCUCAACCGUAAAAUUGCAAUUGAUACUGGCAGGCUGGAGUACAGUUGAGGUAGGCGUAAUUCGUGGUGUAGCGGUGAAAUGCUUAGAUAUCACGAAGAACCCCGAUUGCGAAGGCAGCUUACUAAACUGUGACUGACAUUGAUGCUCGAAAGUGUGGGUAUCAAACAGGAUUAGAUACCCCUGUAGUC